GUUCUUAUAGUUGAAUAACAGCGGUGGUUUUUCAGGCCAUAUGUCUUGGUUAAAGUCCGAGUGGGAAUU
Molecule: transfer RNA, 69 nt
Filed under: Herpele squalostoma
Lineage: Eukaryota; Metazoa; Chordata; Amphibia; Gymnophiona; Herpelidae
Description: tRNA-Glu
Rfam family: tRNA
About the family: Transfer RNA (tRNA) molecules are approximately 80 nucleotides in length. Their secondary structure includes four short double-helical elements and three loops (D, anti-codon, and T loops).
Source: RNAcentral